GGUGGGGACGUCUGGCGGAACUGCCGGUGGACAAACCGGAGGAAGGUGGGGGAUGACGUCAAGUCCUCAUGGCCCUUAUGUCCAGGGCUACACACGUGCUACAAUGGUCGGUACAGAGUGACGCGAAGCCGCGAGGUGGAGCAAAUCGCAGAAAGCCGGCCUUAGUUCGGAUUGGAGUCUGAAACUCGACUCCAUGAAGGUGGAAUCGCUAGUAAUCGCGCAUCAGCAUGGCGCGGUGAAUACGUUCCCGGGCCUU
This 256-nucleotide ribosomal RNA is filed under the name uncultured Spirochaetaceae bacterium. RNAcentral describes it as "partial 16S ribosomal RNA". It matches the Rfam family "Bacterial small subunit ribosomal RNA", at positions 1129 to 1382 of the family's 1533-position model. Lineage: Bacteria; Pseudomonadati; Spirochaetota; Spirochaetia; Spirochaetales; Spirochaetaceae. The record is from RNAcentral.